CCGGCGACCGGCGCACGGGUGAGUAACACGUAUGCAACCUGCCCGUGGCAGGGGGAUAAGCGGGGGAAACCCCGUCUAAUACCGCGUAACGCGGCCUAGGGACAUCCCAAGGCCGCCAAAGGGAGCAAUCCCGGCCACGGAUGGGCAUGCGGCGCAUUAGCUAGUCGGCGGGGUAACGGCCCACCGAGGCGACGAUGCGUAGGGGUUCUGAGAGGAAGGCCCCCCACACUGGUACUGAGACACGGACCAGACUCCUACGGAAGGCAGCAG
Molecule: ribosomal RNA, 270 nt
Filed under: uncultured bacterium
Lineage: Bacteria
Description: partial 16S ribosomal RNA
Rfam family: Bacterial small subunit ribosomal RNA
Source: RNAcentral